This 820-nucleotide long non-coding RNA is filed under the name Equus asinus (donkey). RNAcentral describes it as "lncRNA (ENSEASG00005025977.1)". Lineage: Eukaryota; Metazoa; Chordata; Mammalia; Perissodactyla; Equidae. The record is from RNAcentral.
CCGAAUCUUUCUAAACGUUUCGGUAAAGCAAGUCACCCCUUUCGCCAGCAUCCCCAGGAGACCUUGUGUAAAGUCCGAGAUUUCUGCCACUGAUUAUCUAAGGACAGUUUAGGACACAGACUUCAAGCAGGAGAAACCUGGGCUAUAGUCCUUGCUUUGUCACUAGCCAGUUGUGUGACUUUGGGCAAAUUAAUCUCUCUAGACCUGUUUCUUCAAUCUAUAAGACUACAAACAGCGGAACCCUCUGUUGGUUGCUAUGGGGAAGGGGAGGUGCAGUAAGAAUACAGAAGAAUGAACUUCUCUCCAGGUGGAGAGCGGAGAGCUUGUUGCACAGAACCUGCCUCCCUCUUGCUGGGCACUGCCUCUCAGAAGCAAUGCUGCGUGGCGAGGCGAGAACUCGACCAGAGGAGCUGGAUCUUCCAUGAAGGACAGCGUUUCCACUGUCUCUCCUAGGCUGGAAAAAUCUCCUGUGUGUCUCCACACGUAUCCUCUGCCCUCCUGUCCCUGAGUUAUACUCCAUUUUGCUGCCAGAGUGAUCUUUUCAAAACCCAGAUCUGGUUGUUGCAAAAUACACAUCCUCCACCACCACCAUCAUCACAGCUGAGACCCUUCAGAGGCCUUCUAGUGCUCUGAGCAGAAGAAUCAAACUGGAGUGCCCAGGGCAGGGCGUGGUCUGGCCCUGGCAGCCCUCCCUAGCCUCAUUCCAUCACUCCACCUAAUGGGACUGGCCUCUCCCACCACCAUGCGAUCUCAUACUCUCUCCUGCCAAAAGGCCUGUGCACACACUGUUCCCUCUGCCUGGGACACUCUUCUCUCCGAU